This 119-nucleotide ribosomal RNA is filed under the name Bacillus sp. B3-WWTP-C-10-D-3. Its description in RNAcentral is "partial 16S ribosomal RNA". It matches the Rfam family "Bacterial small subunit ribosomal RNA", at positions 1425 to 1533 of the family's 1533-position model. Lineage: Bacteria; Bacillati; Bacillota; Bacilli; Caryophanales; Bacillaceae. The record is from RNAcentral.
AGUCGGUGGGGUAACCUUUUUGGAGCCAGCCGCCUAAGGUGGGACAGAUGAUUGGGGUGAAGUCGUAACAAGGUAGCCGUAUCGGAAGGUGCGGCUGGAUCACCUCCUUUCUAUGGAGA